CCCUUAGAGUUUGAUCCUGGCUCAGAAUCAACGCUGGCGGCGUGCCUAACACAUGCAAGUCGAACGCGAAAGUGGAGCAAUCCAUGAGUAGAGUGGCAAACGGGUGAGUAACACGUGGGUGACCUGCCUUCGAGCGGGGGAUAACGUCCCGAAAGGGACGCUAAUACCGCAUGACAUCCUGCCUUUUAACAGGCGGAGAUCAAAGCCGGGGAUCGCAAGACCUGGCACUUGAAGAGGGGCCCGCGCCUGAUUAGCUAGUUGGUGGGGUAAUGGCUCACCAAGGCAACGAUCAGUAUCCGGCCUGAGAGGGCGGACGGACACACUGGGACUGAGACACGGCCCAGACUCCUACGGGAGGCAGCAGUGGGGAAUUGUUCGCAAUGGGCGCAAGCCUGACGACGCAACGCCGCGUGGAGGAUGAAGACCUUCGGGUCGUAAACUCCUUUCGAUCGAGACGAAUGGCCCUUGGGCUAAUCACCAGGGGAAUGACGGUACCGAGAGAAGAAGCCCCGG
This 513-nucleotide ribosomal RNA is filed under the name uncultured bacterium. RNAcentral describes it as "bacterial SSU rRNA". It matches the Rfam family "Bacterial small subunit ribosomal RNA", at positions 1 to 496 of the family's 1533-position model. The record is from RNAcentral.